UGAUAUGCUCGUAGUAUAGCGAGCAGGAUAAAAAAAAGAAGUAUACAAAUGGA
Molecule: small RNA, 53 nt
Organism: Leptotrichia sp. oral taxon 215
Lineage: Bacteria; Fusobacteriati; Fusobacteriota; Fusobacteriia; Fusobacteriales; Leptotrichiaceae
Rfam family: 6A RNA
About the family: Actinobacteria (1 example), Firmicutes, Fusobacteria.
Source: Rfam